GGGGACGUGGCUGAAGUCAGUCGGGCCGCCCGCUUGCUGCACGGCAGCCGUGGGACUGGCACAGGCUCCUCGGCAGCAUUAUGGGCAGCUGGUAGAGCGGCCACUUCCGAGAGCCGGAUGGGCCUUCCGAGGUCGGGCCGUGCCCCGCUGGGCAGCGCAGAGCGGGUGUGUAGGGCACGCGACUUGGAGCCAGGUCCAGACCCAUCCUGGCUCCUCUCAGGGCUCCUUCCCCUCCCCCCAUUCCACCCCAGCCCUGCUGGCUGUCCCGCAGGACCCAGCGCCGCGGUAGCCUUCUCUGAACUGCGGCUCAGGCGGAGGUGUCACUCCUGCCUCCAGCCCAGGAAGGCAGGUCAGGUUAUGCAACGCGUGCCGCGCGAUCUCCCCCCACCUCCAACCCCCUUUGCUCCCGGGUCCACACGGCAGUUCCCACCGCUCCGGGUGUCCUCCCCAGUGCGCCGCGAUUUUUGUGUCCAAGCCCCAGAGUCCCUCUGAGACCAACCCCCAGCCAGCACAGACUUCCUGCCUUCCCAGCUCGGAAGCGCCCUCGAGAGGUGUCUAAAGGAGACAGUUGAUAGCCAAACAACAGUUUUGGAUUCACUGACUGAUUAUGAAAGAAGCAGUAGACUGGUAUC
This 632-nucleotide long non-coding RNA is filed under the name Pan troglodytes (chimpanzee). RNAcentral's name for it is "lincRNA". The record is from RNAcentral. Lineage: Eukaryota; Metazoa; Chordata; Mammalia; Primates; Hominidae.